RNAcentral lists this ribosomal RNA (253 nucleotides) under uncultured bacterium. RNAcentral's name for it is "partial 16S ribosomal RNA". It matches the Rfam family "Bacterial small subunit ribosomal RNA", at positions 524 to 776 of the family's 1533-position model. The record is from RNAcentral.
UACGUAGGGUGCAGGCGUUAAUCGGAAUUACUGGGCGUAAAGGGCGCGUAGGCGGCCUUCUAAGUCAGACGUGAAAUCCCUCGGCUCAACCGAGGAACUGCGUCUGAUACUGGAAGGCUUGAAUCCGGGAGAGGGAUGUGGAAUUCCAGGUGUAGCGGUGAAAUGCGUAGAUAUCUGGAGGAACACCGGUGGCGAAGGCGGCAUCCUGGACCGGUAUUGACGCUGAGGCGCGAAAGCUAGGGGAGCAAACGGG